This is a non-coding RNA of Danio rerio (zebrafish), 1449 nucleotides long. NCBI's taxonomy places the organism in Eukaryota, Metazoa, Chordata, Actinopteri, Cypriniformes, Danionidae. The record is from RefSeq and is a predicted model, not a curated record.
ACCAGUUAAACCGUAACACCGCCAUUGAGACUCUCGCGAGUUGAGAACAGAUACCGUCACCGUGGAUUGUGGCGAUAAUUACGGCAAAGAAGUUACCGAGAUAAAGACACGUUCAAGAUAAGCCUGGCUAUCCUGAAGAGCUCCCAAAGGAAGUGGUGAUGAUGACCAUUUUGAGAGAUUCCCCCUGCCGGUUCCUCAUCAAACUCCAAGAGUGGUUUUUGGUGAAAGAGGAGAAAUCACCAUACGGGGUAAGUCUGUUUAUUCAGCACAUUACAUGAAAUAUGCACUGUAAGAGGGUUUGUCUCGUUUCUUAUUGUUUUGUUGAUUUUGUAACUAAAAAUUCUUAAAUCAAGAAGCAUUUCUGAACAAGAACAUAACUCUGUCUUAUUUCAGAAGAGCUCGUGGGUUAUUAAUAUGCCGGUGCGGUAAGGGAAAUAAACUUGUUUCUACUUUAAAAUCUAUCCUGAAUGUAACUGGAAGCCAGUGUAAAGACUGACCUGAGGACUGCUGUCAUGUGCUUGAUUUUUUAUUUUGCAUGAAUUUAAAUGUAUUCUCUUUCCAUUUGUGAAGAUGUUCUGCUUCUAAAGUAUAUAUUUAAUACAUUUAUCUUUUUAAUAAAUCUGUUUUGUUCAAAUGCACUAAAAUAUUCACUGAGAAAUGGAGAAAAAUAUUCAUCUUUAAAAUGGGGUGCACUUAUUAAUGCCCAGUGUCAUAAAUACUAUAUACAGGGCUUUACAAUAAAACCCGCCAACCCGCCAAAUGUGGGUAGAUUUCAGCUCUGGCGGGUUGGACAGCCGCUCCCACUAGACACUUCGGCAGGUUGGCAAUAAUUUUGACAUUGUAGUUUUCUUAAAGCAGAGUUCGACAAUAAGCAUGGCCCAAAAUGUGAUCUUAGAAUCGAGAAACAGCACGACUGACAACAAUAACUGUGUUCACGCGAGACAAAGAAGGUGAAUACCGUAUGAGAGGAGGAUUACUCGCGCGCACAGGGGACACGUGGACGGAGACUCUGGCGUACGUGCUGUUCUGGGGCUCCGCCAGCGUGGUGACCGGCGGCGUGAUCCUCUUCAACGGACGGGACUUUGUGGACGCCCCGCGGCUGGUGCAGAAGGAGAAGAUGGACUGAACCUGCGUGUGUGGGAAGCAGUCGGGCCCCACGGAGCCUUCAUCCUCAUCCUCACCCUGGAGCCUGUACUGAUGACGAUGAUGAUGAUGAUGAUGAGGGCCCGGGGCCAAACACACGGGGUCACGCUGCUCUCCACACCAGCAUCAAGCCACGCCCACUUUCCCAUGAUUCCAUCUGCCGGUCGCACCGCUGGACGCUCAGGCUGACCGUGAGGCCCUCGGCCCCGUCCUCACGGUGCAACCAGAUCCGCCAUUUUGGCUCAAGCGCUGGCUGAUGAUGACGUGUUUGUCUUGUUUUCUAAUAAACGCUGAGUGACAGUAAGG